GACGGCUGAAACUUCCUGAACAUGAUCCAAGGACGUACAACAAAUGACGCAUUUUCGACACACCAACAAAUGGCACACCAGAAACCUGCCCUAUAUAUAUUUGUAAUUUCAGUUUUACGAAAUAGUUAAAUAUUACAUAAUCGUCAUUAUAAGUUAUUAAUUAUAUCUAUUUAUUGGUUAUUUAUAAUCAAUUUUAAACAACUUUCGGUCUUAAAAUACAAAAUCAAAUCAAAUGAUGUAAACAACAAAUAUUCAAUAAUGAGGCUCAACAAAUGUAAUUAAUAAAUAGCCUAAUAAUUAGUUAUAAUGUAAUGGGCAGUUAAUUCAGUUAAAGUUCAAGUAUGAACAUUAUAAAUACUUGAGCAAACCUAUGUAAUAAGUAAUUUUUCAGUUAAUUAAAUUCAACAAUUUAGCUGGUUUGUCUUCUUUCCCUUCUAAAAGGUUCCAAAGACAUUCUGACAGUAUCUCCGGCCAUCGUCGGUCUUCCACACGAGGAAGACAAUAGGGAUGUCUACUUUCUAAAUCAGUUCUUAUAUGGGAUCAGAGCUUAAUCGAUCCUACAAGCUUCUGCAAAAUGUCAAACAGCUCGAAUACCAACGACGACCGUGAGUCCAGCGGAUUAUUAACUUAUAGAUUCUAACUUAAUUAUUUACUUUGAGCUAGGACAUAGGAUUCUAACUUAAUUUUUUCAAUCAGGUUAUAACUGCAUGUGACGGACGAAGAGCGGUUAUUAUAUUUGGCUACGUACCUAAUGAUAUAGGCCAGGGGUGAAAAAAUGAUUUUUGAUUUUCUGAGAGCACCAUUCCGACGACUUGACUCUCUGACGACCUACGGAUCGAGGAAGAGAAGAAGGCAUUUGUGAAUUGUGAUCUAUUAUCCAUCCAUUUGUAAAUAACAUUUAUGUUUUGG
This 909-nucleotide long non-coding RNA is filed under the name Zostera marina. RNAcentral's name for it is "long non-coding RNA (ZMAR_LNC001655)". Lineage: Eukaryota; Viridiplantae; Streptophyta; Magnoliopsida; Alismatales; Zosteraceae. The record is from RNAcentral.